UACGAGGGGGCGAGCGUUGUUCGGAAUUAUUGGGCGUAAAGGGUGCGUAGGCGGUUCCGCAAGUCCUGUGUGAAAUCUUCGGGCUUAACUCGAAGCCUGCACGGGAAACUGCGGGGCUUGAGUGUGGGAGAGGUGAGUGGAAUUCCCGGUGUAGCGGUGAAAUGCGUAGAUAUCGGGAGGAGCACCUGUGGCGAAAGCGGCUCACUGGACCAUAACUGACGCUGAUGCACGAAAGCUGGGGGAGCAAACAGG
This 252-nucleotide ribosomal RNA is filed under the name uncultured bacterium. RNAcentral describes it as "partial 16S ribosomal RNA". It matches the Rfam family "Bacterial small subunit ribosomal RNA", at positions 524 to 776 of the family's 1533-position model. The record is from RNAcentral.